GGGGAAUCUUGGACAAUGGGGGAAACCCUGAUCCAGCCAUGCCGCGUGAGUGAUGAAGGCCCUAGGGUUGUAAAGCUCUUUCAGCGGGGAAGAUAAUGACGGUACCCGCAGAAGAAGCCCCGGCUAACUUCGUGCCAGCAGCCGCGGUAAUACGAAGGGGGCUAGCGUUGCUCGGAAUCACUGGGCGUAAAGCGCACGUAGGCGGGUCGUCAAGUCGGGGGUGAAAGCCCGGAGCUCAACUCCGGAACAGCCUUCGAUACUGACGAUCUUGAGUUCGGGAGAGGUGAGUGGAACUGCGAGUGUAGAGGUGAAAUUCGUAGAUAUUCGCAAGAACACCAGUGGCGAAGGCGGCUCACUGGCCCGAUACUGACGCUGAGGUGCGAAAGCGUGGGGAGCAAAC
RNAcentral lists this ribosomal RNA (400 nucleotides) under uncultured bacterium. Its description in RNAcentral is "bacterial SSU rRNA". It matches the Rfam family "Bacterial small subunit ribosomal RNA", at positions 356 to 773 of the family's 1533-position model. The record is from RNAcentral.